Long non-coding RNA from Equus caballus (horse), 6778 nucleotides. The record is from Ensembl. Lineage: Eukaryota; Metazoa; Chordata; Mammalia; Perissodactyla; Equidae.
CGUGGUCACUCGCUGAGAUCUUAAUUAGUAUUUGUUCUUAUUAACUAUAAAUCCACUGAAUCACACUUGGACUUGCACUGGCUGCCACACACACAGAGCCUCCACCUUGGGGGUCUGCAGGCCUCCCAGGCUUGUUAGACUCGGGUGAACUUUUCUCUCAGACUUCGGGUCGCCCAGCUGGGCUGGCACCAUGGUGGUGGCAGGAAUCAGUGCACCACCCUCAGCAAAUGCGCCCUUCUCUGAGUCCUGCUAAUGCAAUCUAGCAGCCAAUUGACUUAAAUUCCUUCCGCUUUAUUGUUCUCCGUCCUUAGAGAGGCCAGUGCUCAGCAUCUAGCAGGGCUGCGAGGCAGGCCUCCGCCGAUCCUGGAGUUGUAAUUCCCCACUGCUGGCUGCUGCAGUUUUAUUACGGCCUUCUUUUUUCUGAGAUUGACAGACAUAAACCUCCAGUGUGGAGCCUGCGACAGCACCCUUAAAGGCUUCUCUGUGUGGACACGUAACCUUAGGACAAAGUGGGCGCAGCUCCAGGAAAGGCACAGCAGCCUGCUACAGGGAAGGACUGUGCUGGGGCAGACCUCAGGGUUUCUUCUUCUGGCUGGCUCCCUGGGAAGCCUCCCAGGGACAAUGCUUUCUUCCUCUAAGUAGAAUUUUUUGUGGGGGGCCUUCGGGAGAUUGGGAAUACUGCGAGAGGAGACCUGUGGUGGCUGUCCAGGGAACUCCACAUGCAACCAGAGGAACAAGAUGUCCUUCCUUGAGUGAAACCAGAAGGUGUUUUCCCGUCUCUGUCGAAAGAAGUCAUGUGCUGGUCUGGAGAGAAGUGCGUAUAUCCACCGGGAGUCUUCAAAUUUAUAAGUAUAUCCAGAGGCCUUCAAAGUCAGGCAUCUAAUUAUAACCUAAACAUAAUCUAAAUAUAAAUAUCAUCAUGCAAUUAUCUAAAUAUAAUCAUGCAAAUUAAUAAAUGCCAUCACUUUUCAGCACUACCCUAGCAAUUGACUUUCUUUUCAGGGCCAUUUUUCAAAAAGGAACAAGUUAUUAUCUUUUAGCAGUUUUUAUUGCAGUUGUGACAAUUAGAGAGAACCAUAAGAUCUUGCUUAAGAUGUGAAUACGAGGUGGCUGGCUGGGCCCACUCAGUAAUCAAAUGAUUGUUCUCAGACAAUAGUGUUUGGGCUUCUGAUGCUUGCCUCAGCAAAACUGCAAAUUAUUAUUUUUCAUAGACCUUUGAGGUUGUCCAUAAGUCAUUGCAAUGUUCAAUGCCAAGUGCUCACAUUCUCCGAGAUAAAGAGGGCAAAGAAGGAGAGAAAGAAUGUGUAGCUCAUUAUCCACACAUUAUUUUCCUAUUGUUUGGGAUGUUGAGAAUACUUUUUAGAAAUUUAUCAAGGCAAUGACUCCCAGACAUUUUCCAUUAAAAAAGGGGGUAUUUUUGCAUUUCAUGUACUAUCCCAAGAGUGGAUGUAAGAAGCAGUUUGUUUUCACUCUGCAGCAAGGGAAGUGACCUAAAAUAAUUUGUCUUGUAUUUCAUAAUGACCACAAUAGUGAACUAAAACCAUUUUUUUCUUAUAUUUGUUUCUUCUAUGACACUAUUUUGCAAGCUAAUACAUAUAAACUUUGUCCAAAAGAUCAUAUGAUUUUUUUCUUUUAAAAAAUGUACCCUUUUUAAAAGUUUCUAACUCUUCUGGAAUGGGUCAUAAAUCCAAGCUAAACUGUAACGAUAGUUCAGUAAUACCUUCCUUGUAUUUCAGAAAGUUCUAAAGAACAGGUUGGUACAAUUAAGUGGUAAAUGUUAUGGCACACUGCAUUAUCACUAUAGGUUAUGCUAUAUGGUACAUAGAAAGCACUUUUAUCCUAGACGUUGAAUAUGCCACAUAAAGUGAGUCCGUAAUUGAACUAUCUCAACAGCAACUUUUUAAAAAGUGAUUUUUGUUGCAGCUGAAUUCAGAACCCAAAGCACCUCUGAUUAUCCACUGCUUAGGCAGAACACAGGCAGAAGAUAAAGUGUUCCUGUUAAUGUGCUUCCGCUCUCCCCUAAAGGAGUGAUUUCCAGGAGUGGAGAGGAAGACCAUGUCUACAGAAAUCUUGGCAACCUCUUAUCCAGGAAGACUAUGGAGAUUUCAUGAUCUUGCUGUUGUUUGCAACAAGGUAUUACCUUUGUCCAAACUCCCUCCACACAGCCGGUUUCCUCAUUUCUCCUGGGGUAAACAUCACUGUAAAUAGACACAUUGAUUAGCGCCCUGCCGAACAUCUCUGCCUUCCACACGCUCCAGGUUUCAAUUAGCCUGUAAUCUACAACGAGGAAGGAGUGUGUCGUAAAAAUUAGGAGUCACAAGUGCUGGGUUCCAAUCCUGGUUCUGUCCUUAGCAGCAGUGUAACCUUGAGUCCGUCUCGGGUUCCUCAUUCAUCAAAGGAGGCAGAAAAUUAAAAAAUACAUACCUCACUGUCACCAUCUCGCUUCAUUGUAUCCCCAUCCCAAGCCUGGUGAGGCUCUCGUAAGAUCUGGGUGGAGCUCUAACUGGCCUUUGGACCAGUCUGUGAAUUUCCCCUCCCAUGGAGGAUAAAGGGUUGCACUUUUCUCUGAAGGUUAAUAUCUUAUGUUUAGUACUGACUCCCCUCUAAUGCUUGAGCCAUAGGAUCCUAAGUGGGAGCAAGGACACUGAGAAAUCAGCUAGUCAAGCUCUCUACCUUCACACAGCUGUCCCAUCUUGCUCAGAGCUCUGUCACUGACGACCAGGUGUUGUUGCCUACCUCCUUCACUGAGAGCUUAGCAUCUUCUCAGCUAGACUUAGCAUUUUGAAGAAAAGUUCUGGCAUCUUAUAGAUCCUUGUAUUCCUCUGAGCCCUCAGUGCAACCCAGUACCUUGAAAAUAACAGAUUCUCAGCAAAUGUUUGUGGCUUGAUUAUUUUGAGAAAGAGCUCUGGGGUGUUUAUAACAAAACAGGUUCAUAUUGAAGAAUCCUAUUAUCCCUUCAAAAUGGGCCUAUAAAAGUUCUUUCUAGGACUACCCUAUCUGUACACUAAUGUAAUGACAGCCUGUUUUUCUUUUCUUUUUUUUUUUUUUACUCUGGCCCUAUCUCAGCUAUACUAGUUAAAAACAUUUUUAAUUGGCUUUUAUCAUAUUUGAAAAUGUAAUAAAUACUCAUUAAAAAUGAGUUAAUUAAUACUACUGAGAUGGGCUGUCCCCAUUCUCCACACACCUGUCAGAAAUGACUGCUAAUAGUUUGGAAUAGACUCCUCCAGAUUGUUUUACUUAUUUAUAGUUUUGAUGCAUAUACUAACAUUUGUUAUUAUUUCAUGGAAACAUGGUUAUACUAUUCAUAGUCUUUUGGAACUUGCUUUUAUCAUUUAACAAUGCCUUGUGAACUUGUCUCCAUGUCAACACACACCUCACUCCUUCUUAGUGCUGCAUGGUACAGAAGUUUCUUGUUAACCAACCAUUCCUUAUCAUUAUUUGAAUCCCCAUAGUUGCUAAGUUGUGUAGGGAAGCAGAAAUUGGUCAUAAUAGGAAAAUAACCACUAAUGAACUGGCCACUUACUAAAUUAGUGCCCACUCAAAUUGCCCUCCCAACUUAAUACCAGCAUCUGUCCUCACUCAGCCAGUCAAUUUUGCUGAUUGCAGAUGUUAUAAACAUCCUGCAAUACAAUGUAAAUAAAAUGCAUUUCAGUUGCCACGUAAAGUUGCUAGUCUUGCAAAAGAUGCAGGAUUUUAUGAAGUCAAUGAAAGUGAUUUUGGAGAACUGUUCCAUAGGCAAAUGAGUAUCUGGCAAUGUUAGACCGGUUAACAAUUAAAGAUGAGAAAAACAACCAGGAUGAUAGCAGGAUAAGUUCUUCAAAAGGAGAAUUAUUUGAAUAUCAAAGGAUUAAGAGAGGCUCUCAGGAAAAUUGAUGAAGCCAUCGCAUCUUUUUUUAAAUGACCUUUGUAUGAUUCUGCUAUAAAAGUCAUUGUGAAGUGUAGGGUGUCAAAAUUUACAACCAAAUAAUUUUGUUAGAAAAAUUAUCCCCCUCACCAAAUCAACAUGUGAUUCAUCCUUUGUUUAUUCUAAAAACUAGAGCAUUGUUGUAAUUAGAUUUGAUAUAUGUAUAUCUUCAAAGAUAAAUCAUAGUUACAGAUAAGAUAAUCUUUACUUUUAUUUUUUCAAAACAAAGUCUCAAUCGAACCUUUUUUCAUUCUUUAUUUUACAAUACUAGACCCUAUUUAUUACUUUUGAAGCUUUCAACAGUCAUAUUACGGCAAACAGAAGCAACAGACACUGAAAAUAAGGUUCCUAAUAGACUAAUCAGAUUGCCUCAUUCUCUUUCCGUGAGGCAUUUAGAGGCAGGACUGGCCACUUUGCAAGGAGUAAAGCCCCAGGGUGGCUGGGUAAUUCAGGGGAGGGAAGAGGCCGUAAGAAAGGAGAUAGGCAGUGGACUUCCUCUGGCACUAAUCCGGCACAUAGAUGUUUGGGCCUAAUGUAAUUUGAAAAAAUAAAAAAGAUGUAACCUUAUUUUUGUCCAAGCUGGUAAAGCAAGUUAUACCAGUUAAACGUGGGUCUAUCAGGAUUUAUUUUUAGCAGUUACCUACUGACUGAUAUUUGGAUUGUUUCCAGUUUUUUGCGACUACAAGCCAUGUGGCAAUGAACAACAGUGUACAAAUAUAGCUUGGUGCACUUGUACAAGCAUCUCUGUAAGAAAAAUUCCUAGAAGUGAAAUUCCUGGGGUUGGACAAAGGUAUAUUAAAAAUGUUAACAGGCAUUAGCAAGUUAUCCUACUAUUUAAUGCCACCUACAGCAUCUGAGACGCCUGUUUCUCCACACCCUUCACUUUUUGCCAAGCUGAUUGCAAAAAUAUGCUAUAUACAUUGCUGUUUUCAUUUUCAAUAAUAUAAAUUCUUGAUCUGCAAGAUAAACUUUGCUCACUGCCUGCUUAGAAUCUUUAGGAAGAGCCUCAUUAUAGACUGGAAAAUCUGCAUGAUAAAUGCAGGGGCGAUCAUGUCAUUCCUAGCAAUGGGUAGGAGCUGAAAAAUUGAGCUCAACAUGCAUUCUUCUGUGUAAAAAACCCUCUGAAACUAUUGUAGUCAUUACUUGAACAAGGUAAAGGGUUUAUAGUCAGUAGUGGAAGAUGGAGAUUAUUUUUGCAAAUUCCUGAUUUCAGGACUACAAGAUGCUUUACAGAUUUCAAAAUAUGUGAAUAGAUAAGAUCAGUAGAUCCUGAAACUGGAUGCGAGUGUCAUCCAAGCCCACAUUCUUUCCAUCAGGAUUUUGGUCACAGAAACUGUCGGCAUUCUUACUGAAAAAUUCUUUACCUAUAUGGAAGAUCUAAAAAAGAAACAAAAAAUAUCCCCUAGAGUAUGCAUUUGUCACAACCCAUCAAAUGGUAGAUUAAGAUGUGUGCAUUUCACUGUGUGUAAAUUUUACAUAAAAAAUAAACCAUAGAGUCCUCAAAAAUUAAACUCAGAAUUACCAUAUGAUCUAGCAAUUCCACUUCUGGGAAUACACCCAAAGAAGUGAAAGCAGGGACUUAAACAGAUAUUUGUACACUCCUGUUUUACAGCAGCAUUAUUCACAAUAGGUAAAAGGGGGAAGCAACCCAAAUGUCCAUCAGUGGACGCAUGGAUAAACAAAAUGUGCUACGUGGGUAAAAUGAACUAUUAUUCAGCCUGAAAAAGAAAGGAAAUUCUGAUACAUGCUACAAUGUGGAUGAACCUUGAAGAUAUGAUGCUCACUGAAAUAAGCCAGUCACAAAAGGACAAAUAUUGUAGGAUUCCACUUAUAUGGGUACCUCGAGUAGUCAGAUUCACAGAGACAGAAAGUAGAAUGGUGGUUGCCAGUAGAAUGGUGGGGGCUGAAGGGAGGGGAGAGUGGGGAUUUAGUGUCUAACGAGUGGAGUUUCAGUUGGGGAAAAUGAAAAGUUCUGUAGAUGGAUGGUGAUGAUGAUUACAAUAUGAAUGUACUUAAUGCCAAGAACUGUAUAUGUACAAAGGGGUCAAAUGAUAAAUUUUAUAUUAUGCAUAUUUUACCACACUAAACAUACUUUUUAAAAACCCAUAAAAGAUACUGAACUAAUGAUAUGCAUGCUGAAGUGUUUGAGUGUGAAAUGUACUGAUGUCUACAACUUUAUUUGAAAUGUAUCAAAAAAUGAAGAUGAGUCGAUAGACUGAUAGAGGAAUGAAUGGAUAUGUGAUAAAGUAAAUAUAACAAAUGUAAAUUGUAAUCUAGAUGGUAAACAUAUGUAUGUUCACUGUGCCAUUCUUCUAACUUUUCUGUGUGUUUGAAAGUUUUCUUAAUAAAAUGUUGAGAGGAAAUGACCUAGGCUAAAAAAAUAACCAGCAAAUGAAAGUCUCUUUUUACCAUAAAUUCAUAUUUUGCUUUUGUUCAUUAUGGGGAACAAUUUUGCAUGGAGAGAUCUUCAUGCAGAGUUAAGGAAAUAGGACUGAUGUUUUGUUUGCUUUUAAUAACGGUCAGACAGGAAUAUUUAUUAGACGAGAAUUGGACAGGUAUUGAUUCACAAGUGACUCUAUGAUAUUAAAAAUGAACUCAAUACCACCAAAGUUGAUGAGUAUCUCUCUAUAUAUACAAAGGCAAGGGUCAUAGUUCAGCUUUUUCUUCCAUAUGUAGGAUUUCAGCGUGUGUAGAGGGAAAGAAUCCCAGCCUACUCAAACGGAAAAGAUGACACAAAUAGAUUGGCUGUGAUGACAUGCAACUUUGGAGUGUUGCGAGACCGGAGGUCCUCCUGAUAAAUAUUAGCUCAUGGUAGAAGUGUAGUAGAUUAUAAAUAGCAGUGCUUCAUUUCCUCAUAGAAACAUUUUAGAGAGC